RNAcentral lists this ribosomal RNA (498 nucleotides) under uncultured bacterium. RNAcentral describes it as "partial 16S ribosomal RNA". It matches the Rfam family "Bacterial small subunit ribosomal RNA", at positions 30 to 523 of the family's 1533-position model. The record is from RNAcentral.
AUUGAACGCUGGCGGCAUGCCUUACACAUGCAAGUCGAACGGUAACAGGUCUUCGGAUGCUGACGAGUGGCGAACGGGUGAGUAAUACAUCGGAACGUGCCUAGUAGUGGGGGAUAACUACUCGAAAGAGUGGCUAAUACCGCAUGAGAUCUACGGACGAAAGCAGGGGAUCGCAAGACCUUGUGCUACUAGAGCGGCCGAUGGCAGAUUAGGUAGUUGGUGGGAUAAAAGCUUACCAAGCCGACGAUCUGUGGCUGGUCUGAGAGGACGAUCAGCCACACUGGGACCGAGACACGGCCCAGACUCCUACGGGAGGCAGCAGUGGGGAAUUUUGGACAAUGGGCGAAAGCCUGAUCCAGCAAUGCCGCGUGCAGGAUGAAGGCCUUCGGGUUGUAAACUGCUUUUGUACGGAACGAAAAGCCCCGGGUUAAUACCCUGGGGUCAUGACGGUACCGUAAGAAUAAGCACCGGCUAACUACGUGCCAGCAGCCGCCGUAA